Molecule: ribosomal RNA, 911 nt
Filed under: uncultured Flavonifractor sp.
Lineage: Bacteria; Bacillati; Bacillota; Clostridia; Eubacteriales; Oscillospiraceae
Description: bacterial SSU rRNA
Rfam family: Bacterial small subunit ribosomal RNA
Source: RNAcentral
UGANUGCCGGAGAGGCAAUCGNAANUUCCGUGUGNAGNGGUGAAAUGNGUAGAUAUACGGAGGNACACCAGUGGCGANGGCGGAUUGCUGGACAGUAACUGACGCUGAGGCGCGAAAGCGUGGGGAGCAAACAGGAUUAGAUACCCNUGGUAGUCCACGCCGUAAACGAUGGAUACUAGGUGUGGGGGGUCUGACCCCNUCCGUGCCGCAGUUAACACAAUAAGUAUCCCACCNUGGGGAGUACGAUCGCAAGGUUGAAACUCAAAGGAAUUGACGGGGGCCCGCACAAGCGGUGGAGUAUGUGGUUUAAUUCGAAGCAACGCGAAGAACCUUACCAGGGCUUGACAUCCCACUAACGAAGCAGAGAUGCAUUAGGUGCCCUUCGGGGAAAGUGGAGACAGGUGGUGCAUGGUUGUCGUCAGCUCGUGUCGUGAGAUGUUGGGUUAAGUCCCGCAACGAGCGCAACCCUUAUUGUUAGUUGCUACGCAAGAGCACUCUAGCGAGACUGCCGUUGACAAAACGGAGGAAGGUGGGGACGACGUCAAAUCAUCAUGCCCCUUAUGUCCUGGGCCACACACGUACUACAAUGGUGGUUAACAGAGGGAGGCAAUACCGCGAGGUGGAGCAAAUCCCUAAAAGCCAUCCCAGUUCGGAUUGCAGGCUGAAACCCGCCUGUAUGAAGUUGGAAUCGCUAGUAAUCGCGGAUCAGCAUGCCGCGGUGAAUACGUUCCCGGGCCUUGUACACACCGCCCGUCACACCAUGAGAGUCGGGAACACCCGAAGUCCGUAGCCUAACCGCAAGGAGGGCGCGGCCGAAGGUGGGUUCGAUAAUUGGGGUGAAGUCGUAACAAGGUAGAAUCACUAGUGAAUUCGCGGCCGCCUGCAGGUCGACCAUAUGGGAGAGCUCCNAA